UACAGAGGUCCCGAGCGUUGUUCGGAUUCAUUGGGCGUAAAGGGUGCGUAGGCGGCCUUCUAAGUUUGAUGUGAAAUCCCGGGGCUCAACCCUGGAAUUGCAUUGAAUACUGGAGGACUAGAGUACCGGAGAGGAAACUGGAAUUUACGGUGUAGCAGUGAAAUGCGUAGAGAUCGUAAGGAAGACCAGUGGCGAAGGCGAGUUUCUGGACGGUAACUGACGCUGAGGCACGAAGGCCAGGGGAGCAAACGGG
RNAcentral lists this ribosomal RNA (253 nucleotides) under uncultured bacterium. RNAcentral describes it as "partial 16S ribosomal RNA". It matches the Rfam family "Bacterial small subunit ribosomal RNA", at positions 524 to 776 of the family's 1533-position model. The record is from RNAcentral.